RNAcentral lists this ribosomal RNA (253 nucleotides) under uncultured bacterium. RNAcentral's name for it is "partial 16S ribosomal RNA". It matches the Rfam family "Bacterial small subunit ribosomal RNA", at positions 524 to 776 of the family's 1533-position model. The record is from RNAcentral.
UACGGAGGGAGCUAGCGUUGUUCGGAAUUACUGGGCGUAAAGCGCACGUAGGCGGCUUUUUAAGUCAGGGGUGAAAUCCCGGGGCUCAACCCCGGAACUGCCCUUGAAACUGGAGAGCUAGAAUCUUGGAGAGGCGAGUGGAAUUCCGAGUGUAGAGGUGAAAUUCGUAGAUAUUCGGAAGAACACCAGUGGCGAGGGCGACUCGCUGGACAAGUAUUGACGCUGAGGUGCGAAAGCGUGGGGAGCAAACAGG